CCUACGGGAGGCAGCAGUAGGGAAUAUUGCUCAAUGGGGGAAACCCUGAAGCAGCAACGCCGCGUGGAGGAUGAAGGUUUUCGGAUUGUAAACUCCUUUUGUCAGAGAAGAUAAUGACGGUAUCUAACGAAUAAGCACCGGCAAACUCCGUGCCAGCAGCCGCGGUAAUACGGGGGAUGCGCGCGUUAUCCGGAUUUAUUGGGGUUAAGGGGUGCGUAGGGGGAUUUUUAAGUCACCGGUAAACUGUCGGGGCUCAACCCGGGCCGGCCGUUGAAACUGGGGGUCUUGAGUGGGCGAGAAGUAUGCGGAAUGCGUGGUGUAGCGGUGAAAUGCAUAGAGAUCACGCAGAACACCGAUUGCGAAGGCAGCAUACCGGCGGCCGACUGACGCUGAGGCACGAAAGCGUGGGGAUCGAACAGGAUUAGAUACCCGAGUAGUC
This 439-nucleotide ribosomal RNA is filed under the name uncultured bacterium. Its description in RNAcentral is "partial 16S ribosomal RNA". It matches the Rfam family "Bacterial small subunit ribosomal RNA", at positions 338 to 795 of the family's 1533-position model. The record is from RNAcentral.